GAUGAACGCUAGCUACAGGCUUAACACAUGCAAGUCGAGGGGUAGCAGGGUAGCAAUACCGCUGACGACCGGCGCACGGGUGAGUAACACGUAUCCAACCUUCCCAUAACUCGGGGACAGCCUUUCGAAAGAAAGAUUAAUACCCGAUAGUACUUAUAUAGGGCAUCCUACAUAAGUUAAAGAUUUAUUGGUUAUGGAUGGGGAUGCGUUCCAUUAGAUAGUUGGUGAGGUAACGGCUCACCAAGUCUUCGAUGGAUAGGGGUUCUGAGAGGAAGGUCCCCCACAUUGGUACUGAGACACGGACCAAACUCCUACGGGAGGCAGCAGUGAGGAAUAUUGGUCAAUGGGCGAGAGCCUGAACCAGCCAAGUAGCGUGAAGGAUGAAGGUCCUAUGGAUUGUAAACUUCUUUAUAGUAGAAUAAAGUGAUCCACGUGUGGAUUUUUGUAUGUAUACUAUGAAUAAGGAUCGGCUAACUCCGUGCCAGCCGCCGCUGUAA
Molecule: ribosomal RNA, 497 nt
Filed under: uncultured bacterium
Lineage: Bacteria
Description: partial 16S ribosomal RNA
Rfam family: Bacterial small subunit ribosomal RNA
Source: RNAcentral